This 301-nucleotide ribosomal RNA is filed under the name uncultured bacterium. Its description in RNAcentral is "partial 16S ribosomal RNA". It matches the Rfam family "Bacterial small subunit ribosomal RNA", at positions 509 to 807 of the family's 1533-position model. The record is from RNAcentral.
CAGUCGCCACGGUAAAACGUAGGGUGCAAGCGUUAAUCGGAAUUACUGGGCGUAAAGCGUGCGCAGGCGGUUUGUUAAGACAGAUGUGAAAUCCCCGGGCUCAACCUGGGAACUGCAUUUGUGACUGGCAGGCUAGAGUAUGGCAGAGGGGGGUGGAAUUCCGCGUGUAGCAGUGAAAUGCGUAGAUAUGCGGAGGAACACCGAUGGCGAAGGCAGCCCCCUGGGCCAAUACUGACGCUCAUGCACGAAAGCGUGGGGAGCAAACAGGAUUAGAUACCCGUGUAGUCCCUGUCUCUUAUAC